UCUCCCCCUCUCUCUGCCCCUCCCCCGUUCAUGCUCUGUCUCUCUCUGUCCCAAAAAUAGAUAAACUUUGAAAAAAAAAUUAAAAAAAAAUAAUAAUAAAAUAAAAUAAAAUUAUGUGAUUUGGUCUUGAUUUGGAAAAUGGAGUCCUACCAUAUCUUUAUUCAUUUCCCAACUAGAAUUAUGUGAUUCUAGGAUAGAUACAGAACAACAUCCCAUUUCAUAUCCACUAUGCCACCUCCUUCUCAAGCCGUUCCUCUUCCAAAUUUUCAGCCACUUUAACAUUAAAAACUUUUCUACCUAAACUUAUACCUUCAGAACUAUAUAAUUUUAUCUUUUUCUAAAGUCAGUACAAAUUAUUUUUAACUCAUAAUGGUAUUUGUUCAGAACAGUUGGAUUGAAUGCUUACUGUGUGUAAUAUGCAUAAUGGAACCUUAAGUACAAUACUGAUACUGGGAAAGAUAAAGAAUUCAAAUAGUAAUUUUUGUCAGAGAAAAUUUGGGAAAUUAUUUGUGGAGCUUAGUUAUAAUUUUCCAGGGGAUAUGCCUUUAUUUUCUCUGUGUUCCAGGUCUUUCCUGAAAUUUAGAAGCCCCUUUGUUCCCCUUCCUUUCUGAUGCUAUCAGUGGUGAUGAUCACCUUUGAGGAAGAAAAGCCCACUUCCACUGACCAUGGAGAAUACACAGCAUCUCUGCUUGAUUGUGACAAGGGUAGUUUUUGGAUGGGUCAUGAAAUGCUUCUAAACUAGCCAAGAGUUAACUCUCCUAGCCUUUUUAUAUAAUAAGCAUGUUACCACCAAGGUAACUUAUCCAAGUGGAAUCAACUACAUAGUGGAAUCACAUUAUUUACACUUUUAACUUAUACAAAUUUAACACCACUAAAACACAAAUAAGAAAGUACAUGAGUGAGAGAGAAAAAUAAUAUUUUAAAUAGCACAUGUUUAACCUUCCUUUUCAGCAAGUCCCAGGCAAUGGAUAAAAUCAAAUCUGAAACAGUUGAUUCAUGUUGGUGAAAGCUACCGAAAGAACGUGAGGAUGUUUUUAAAGAUUUCCUGGUAAUUGAUAAAGCAUGUUCAGGUGGCCAGGCAAGUUUGGAGAGCUUCUUUGACAUUUACAAGGGUUAUUAAAGGUUGUUGAGAAGCUACAUUUAGGAGUUAGAGGAACUGACAAAAUCCUUUUCACAGAAUGACAUGGUGAGAACAAGUUGAAAUUUUUGUAAAUUUAUUAAGUGUUCAAAGGAGUGAAACACCUGAUUAAAUUUCUGAUGCUCUU
Herpailurus yagouaroundi (jaguarundi) is the source of this 1265-nucleotide long non-coding RNA. RefSeq lists it as uncharacterized. The transcript is spliced from 2 exons. NCBI's taxonomy places the organism in Eukaryota, Metazoa, Chordata, Mammalia, Carnivora, Felidae. The record is from RefSeq and is a predicted model, not a curated record.